UUGCGCCUACGGGAGGCAGCAGUGAGGAAUACUGGUCAAUGGCCGGAAGGCUGAACCAGCCACGCCGCGUGAGGGAGGAAGGCGCAGAGCGUCGCAGACCUCUUUUGCCGGGGGACAAAAGGCCGGACUCGUCCGGUCCUGAGGGUACCCGGAGAAAAAGCAUCGGCUAACUCCGUGCCAGCAGCCGUGGUAAUACGGAGGAUGCGAGCGUUAUCCGGAUUCAUUGGGUUUAAAGGGUGCGCAGGCGGGCCUUUAAGCCGG
RNAcentral lists this ribosomal RNA (261 nucleotides) under uncultured bacterium. Its description in RNAcentral is "partial 16S ribosomal RNA". It matches the Rfam family "Bacterial small subunit ribosomal RNA", at positions 333 to 591 of the family's 1533-position model. The record is from RNAcentral.